This 490-nucleotide ribosomal RNA is filed under the name uncultured bacterium. RNAcentral's name for it is "partial 16S ribosomal RNA". It matches the Rfam family "Bacterial small subunit ribosomal RNA", at positions 30 to 507 of the family's 1533-position model. The record is from RNAcentral.
AUUGAACGCUGGCGGCAGGCCUAACACAUGCAAGUCGAACGGUAACAGGAAACAGCUUGCUGUUUCGCUGACGAGUGGCGGACGGGUGAGUAAUGUCUGGGAAACUGCCUGAUGGAGGGGGAUAACUACUGGAAACGGUAGCUAAUACCGCAUAACGUCGCAAGACCAAAGAGGGGGACCUUCGGGCCUCUUGCCAUCGGAUGUGCCCAGAUGGGAUUAGCUAGUAGGUGGGGUAACGGCUCACCUAGGCGACGAUCCCUAGCUGGUCUGAGAGGAUGACCAGCCACACUGGAACUGAGACACGGUCCAGACUCCUACGGGAGGCAGCAGUGGGGAAUAUUGCACAAUGGGCGCAAGCCUGAUGCAGCCAUGCCACGUGUAUGAAGAAGGCCUUCGGGUUGUAAAGUACUUUCAGCGGGGAGGAAGGGAGUAAAGUUAAUACCUUAACUCAUUGACGCUACCCGCAGAAGAAGCACCGGCUAACUCCGUG